GGAGGGAGCUAGCGUUGUUCGGAAUUACUGGGCGUAAAGCGUACGUAGGCGGUUAUUCAAGUCAGGGGUGAAAGCCCGGGGCUCAACCCCGGAACUGCCUUUGAAACUAGGUAGCUAGAAUCUUGGAGAGGUCAGUGGAAUUCCGAGUGUAGAGGUGAAAUUCGUAGAUAUUCGGAAGAACACCAGUGGCGAAGGCGACUGACUGGACAAGUAUUGACGCUGAGGUACGAAAGCGUGGGGAGCAAACAGGAUUAGAUACCCUGGUAGUCCACGCCGUAAACGAUGAUAACUAGCUGUCCGGGCACUUGGUGCCUGGGUGGCGCAGCUAACGCAUUAAGUUAUCCGCCUGGGGAGUACGGUCGCAAGAUUA
RNAcentral lists this ribosomal RNA (370 nucleotides) under uncultured bacterium. RNAcentral describes it as "bacterial SSU rRNA". It matches the Rfam family "Bacterial small subunit ribosomal RNA", at positions 527 to 896 of the family's 1533-position model. The record is from RNAcentral.